GACGGAGCGAGGGGUCCAGGGUGUGGGAAACGGGGAGGGAUUUGAGGAGGGGAUCGGAAUGUGGCUCCAGUUCGGGAGGCGUUACCUGCGGAGGGUUUGAGGAAGGCCCAGGAGCGAGCCCAUGGUCUUCCGACGCGGGGCCAGGGGCGGGCCCCAGGAUCCGGAGCUUCGGGGGGGCCGAGUCCGGGUUUGGGGCCCGGGAGGCGGGGCCAGUUAGGUCGAGGGUCCCUGGGAUCGUCGGGUCAGGCCUUGGGCUAACGUAGGCACUCUCGCAGUUCCUCCGCCUUCAGGAAGGUCUUUUUAGCAGGGGCCUUACGGGUGCAUGCUUCGGUCCUGGAGGACUUAGGCUAGCCUCCUCUCCAUCAGCGCCACCCGUCUGGGGCCCGAAAGGAGGGAGCUUUCCCUCUGUCCCCCAGCCUUUGGACUGUCACCAAACAAGCCAUUCGUUCACCAAAUACUUUUUAAGCGCCUACCAUGUGCCUGACAAGGGAUAUGUAACGGUGAGAAAAACUAGGUGUGGUCCAGGCCCUUCAGGGACUCAGGGGCUCGUGGAAGAAGUGGAUAUUGAAGUACUUAUCACACAAAGGAGGAUAAAAGUACGAUAGCGAUAUCUACCACGAAGCUGUUGUUCCACACCAGAACCAAAUGAGCGCAAGAUCUGACAAAAAAAAAAGGUUCAUCUUUUAUUCUUCCAAACACUUUCAUUUAAAUCAAGAGGAUGGGAUGUGGUUAUUACUGUGUUUUUAGACAAAAUCAAUGGUUUCUGGCUCUGAGAUGUUGCAUACACCCUCUCAGUCCCUGUAUCCUGAGAUGGAGUCACCUGAGAAUCCACAGCAAGUCCUAACCAGGGAUGGGUCUGGGUGAUUAAGGAAGAUUGGCUUCAGAACUGGGCCAGGGGCACUGCUUUGCUUUUGCUGUUUUGAUCAGCUCUCUGCCUGCAGGAGACGAGGAAAACCAAUGGGAACAGGUUAGUUAUACUCAUAAAUCCUGGGCUUAUUUUAUUAACUCACAUAAUAGCUAUUAAUUGUCUUUCCUCCAAGGAGCAAAAGGGCAUAUACGGUCAAUGUCAUAGUAAGUAACACUGUAUUAUGUUACACUAAAAUAUUAAUCUAGGUUGGUUCAGUCUUUCUUGAGUCCACAGAUUGGAAGCAGAUUGAGGAAGGACGCUAGCAGACCAUAGAGCUGAGCCAUGCACACAGAAGAAAUCUUUUUUUCUUUUUUUCUGGAGACGGAGUUUUGCUCUCUAGUUGCCCAGGCUGGAGUGCAAUGGUGCGAUCUCGGCUCACUGCAACCUCCACCUCCCAGGUUCAAGCGAUUCUCCUGCCUCAGCCUCCCGAGUAGCUGGGAUUACAGGCGUGAGCCACCCUGCCGGGCCACUUUUGUAUUUUUGGUAGAGACAGGGUUUGAACACCUUGGCCAGGCUGGUCUCAAAUUCCUGACUUCAGGUUAUCCACCCGCCUCUGCCUCCCAAAGUGCUGGGAUUACAGGCAUGACCCACCGCGCCUGGCCAGAAGAAAUCUUUAUCUUGGUGCGCAGUGUCUGGUGAUGGACAAAUGUCAUCUCUCUUGGAUCUGAAUCUGGAAGGAUCAAGGCACUGAAGGGAUUUUUUUUGUUUCAGAGAGUCUCCCUCUGUUGCCAGGCUGGAGUGCAGCGGCACGACCUCGGCUCACGGCAACCUCUGCCUCCCGGGCUCCAGCGAUUCUCCUGCCUCAGCAUCUCGAGUAGCUGGGACUACAGGCACACAUCACCACGCCCAGCUAAUUUUUGUAUUUUUAGUAGAGACAGGGUGUUACCAUGUUGGCCAGGAUGGUCUCAAUCUCUUGACAUCAUGAUCCACCUACCUUGGCCUCCCAAAGCGCUAGGAUUACAGGCGUGAGCCACCACGCCCAGCCUCACUAAAGGGAUUUUUUUAAUAUCACGUGGCUCUCACAGGUGCGGUGUGUUCGGGUGCAAGUGAAGAUUAUGACUGAUGCUUAAAACCAAACGUAAAAUUCCAGGUGGUGUUGCUAUGGGGAGCAGCAUUAGGACAAUCUGAGUGGCUUCAGUUGCAAGAGUGUGCGUGUACGUGCAAGAACUACAGUCAAGAUUCAACUUCUGGUUUGAAGAUCUCUUUCAUAACAGUAAUAACAACCUAAGGCAGUUUAACAAUAUGGAAUGGUUGCCUUUUAGAAGUUAACUUAUGGGCAUGGAAGUUCAAUCAGUACAUUGAAGUUUUUCCUUUAUCUCUCCUAUGGUUAAUGGUUUCUGCAGAAAAGGACCAAUUGAUUUCUUUCUAAAACGUUGCUUCAGGGUGUAGAGACCUUUAUAGGUCAUGUUUUAAUUUACAGAAAAUUUUUAUAGUUUAAAUAUAAAUUACGUUCAAUGUGGGCUUUGUAAUACAAUUUAAGGUUAAGUAAAGUUUCCACUUUCCUUAGGCUGUUUGCAGUGCCCAGCAGGCCCCAUGAUAUCGAGAUGGAAGUUAUGUUAAAGGAGGAGGUUGGUCAGGGAUGGGCAGAAUAAGGAAUAUGCGCAGCUCAGGCUAAUGAUGCAAUGAUUGAGGUGUAGAAAGAGGGCCAAGCAUGGGAUAACGCCUGUAAUCCCAGUGCCUUGGGAGGCCAAGGCAAGAGAAUCUCUUGAGGUCAGACCAGCCUGGUCAACAGAGUGAGACCUAACCUGUACAAAAAAAAAACACACAAAAAAACAAAAAAAAUUAGUUGGGCAUGAUGGUGUGCACCUGUAGUCUCAGCCACUUGGAAGGCUGAGGUCAGGGGAUCCCUUGAGCCCAGGAGUUUGAGGCUGCAGUGAGCUAUAAUCACAUAACUGUACUCCAGCCUGGAUGACAGGGUGAGGCGCUGACUCAAAAAAAAAAAAAAAAAAAUGAGUCAGGGAAAAAAUUGGAAAUCUUAAUCCUCGGUACCCAGGAAUGUGACCUUAUUUGGAAAUAGGGUCUUUCUAGAUGUAAUCAAGUAACGAUGAGUCAUCCUGGAUUGGGGGCUGCUGGUGAGGGGGCAGAUGCAAUGACUGGUGUCCUUAUAAAAGAAGAGAAUGAAGGCCGUGCAUGGUGGCUCAUGCCUGGAGUCUCAGCACACUUUGGGAGGGUGAGGUGGGGGGAAUCACUUGAAGUCAGGAGUUCGAGACCAGCCUGGCCAAUAAUAACAAUAAAAAAGCCAUUUUAGAUUCCAAUCCACUGAAAGAAAACUGUCCCUUAGUUAAUGUCGUGCUUAUUGGAUCCAUGAAGUCUUUGAAAAUUUAAACUACAAGGACACUGCCCUCUGUGGUGGUGGAGAGAAUACCAAGGACUUAAAGGUCUUUAAGAAAGAGAAUGUAGAAAAUGUACCCAUUGGAAACAGCAAAAUGAUGAUAAUCGUACUGACAGUAAUAAUAAGCUCAAAUAUAUAGAGCUUACUGUGUAUCAUGAAUUGUUCUGAAUGCUUUAUAAAUAUAUGUUACCCCCUUUACCCUCAUGGCAGCCCAGUAAAGGCGCCAUUCCCCAUUUUACAGCUGGGGAAACUGAGUUACAGAGCUUUUCUGCACUGAGUCAUCAGGAGCAAAUGCUAGAUCAGGUAAUUGAACCCAAGCAAUCUGGUUCCAGAGCCAAAUAGAUGUAUGUUUUAUGGUAUACAAACAUAUACAUACAUUUUUAGGGGAAGGGUGGGGGUAGGAUGGGAUGAGGAUUAUGAGUAAUUGCUUGGUAAAUGCCAAAUACCUUUCUUGUCUGUCCCUCUUUUCAAAUGAUAAAGUAAUGUCAAUUGCACACUUUUUUUUUUUUUUUUUUGAGACAAGGUCUAGCUGGAGUACAGUGAUGCAGUCAUAGCCCACUGCAGCCUCAGAUUCCUGGGCUCAAGCAAUCCACCCACAUCAGUUUCCCAAGUAGUUGGGACUACAGGCCCACACUACUAUGCCCAGCUAAUUAUUUUAAUUUUUGUAGAGAUGGCAGGUGGCGGUGGGGGGGGGGGGUUGUCUCGCUAUGUUGCCCAGGGUGGUCUCGAACACUUGACCUCAAGUGAACCUCCUGCCUCAGCCCCACAAAUCUCUGCAAUUAUAGGUGUGAGCCACUGUGGCUGGCUACAAUACUAUUUAUUUAUAUUUUAGACCAACAGAUAUUCUAGUAUAUAAGAAAUGUGAUGCUCUCUGUACAUUGAAGAGUUGGGCUAAUAUUUGUCCUGGUGGAUACAGAAAUUGCCUGUCUGCUCCGCUCUGGUUGAAGAAACCAGUCCGACUGUCUCUGAGGCUAUGGAGCAGUCCAUGAAGAAUGAAAGCCCUCUGCCAGGCAUGUUGGCUCACACCUGUAAUACCAGCACUUUGGGAGGCCGAGGCAGGUGGAUCACUUGAAGUCAGGAGUUCGACACCAGCAUGGUCAACAUGGUGAAACCCUGUCUCUACAAAAAAUAGAAAAAUUAGCUGGGCCUGGUGAUGCGUGCCUGUAAUCCCAGCUACUCAGGAGGCUGAGGCAAGAGAGUCACUUGAACUUGGGAAGCAGAGGUUACAGUGGGGAGCUGAGAUCACACCACUGCAUUCCAGCCUGAGCGACAGAGCGAGACUCUCUCCAAAAAAAAAAAAAAAAAAAAAAAGAAAGAAUGAAUGUCCUCAUGAUGGCCUCAAGCACAUUGGUCCCUGAAGAGGGUCAAAGAAGGCCCACUUUACUCUGCACUGCAAAGCAGGCAGGUGGACAGGAUGAGAAGUGGAUUCAGUGAGAGGCAUUGACCCAGAGGAUUUUCUGCCUAAUGGUUCAGCAGAAGAUUAAACUGAGCACAGCAUCCUGUUCCCUGAAACCAUCUGGUUGGUCAGUGGGGAAUGUUCUUGUCUCGUUAAAUGUUCUCAUGCUACUGUCAAGAUAUUCUGUUACAAAACGUCAUAAACCACGUUUACAAAUAG
This is a long non-coding RNA of Homo sapiens (human), 4854 nucleotides long. RefSeq lists it as uncharacterized. Lineage: Eukaryota; Metazoa; Chordata; Mammalia; Primates; Hominidae. The record is from RefSeq and is a predicted model, not a curated record. The transcript is spliced from 2 exons.